Oncorhynchus keta (chum salmon) is the source of this 1700-nucleotide long non-coding RNA. RefSeq lists it as uncharacterized. The transcript has 4 exons. Lineage: Eukaryota; Metazoa; Chordata; Actinopteri; Salmoniformes; Salmonidae. The record is from RefSeq and is a predicted model, not a curated record.
GAACACAGAGUGGAUUAUUACUGAGAUUACUAAGGACUGGUCUAGAGUCAGUUGUUAAGAUAAGGGUGGUUAGGAGAAGAAUUGAGAAAUCUGAUCCUAGACCAUUAUCUGCUAGAACCAGGGGUGGGCGAUGCCAGUCAGGACCCACCGUCUCUCCAUCUGACUAAUCAAACUGCAUUCUGAACUGAAGAUCUUGACGAGGUGAUUAUUGGAGUCAUUUAUCAUGACUGAAUGGGGGCAGGUCAGCAGACACAAUAUACAGGCAGAAAUACACAGUGCAACAGCACCACCUGUAGCCUGGGUAACAGUCUCUUAGCUAACGUUCCCCUCCCUGUGCUCCACUCCCUGUGCUCCACUCCCUGUGCUCCACUCCCUGGGCUCCACUCCCUGUGCUCCACUCCCUGGGCUCCACUCCCUGUGCUCCACUCCCUGUGCUCCACUCCCUGUGCUCCACUCCCUGUGCUCCACUCCCUGUGCUCCACUCCCUGUGCUCCACUCCCUGUGCUCCACUCCCUGUGCUCCACUCCCUGUGCUCCACUCCCUGUACUCCACUCCCUGCACUCCACUCCCUGCACUCCACUCCCUGCACUCCACUCCCUGCACUCCACUCCCUGCACUCCACUCCCUGCACUCCACUCCCUGUACUCCACUCCCUGUACUCCACUCCCUGUGCCAAAGAGACAGGACGUUCUCCCAUCUUCAACUCUGAAGAUUCUAUCAUUAAUGAGCUUGAGGAGAACAGAGGAGUUGCUCCUGAUUCGAUAACCCCUCGCAGCUAUCCUCCAAUCACAACGAUUAGGCAACUAUUGGAACUAAUCACUGUUUAAUCUCCACUGGAAGUGUUGCUAUCCGGUUGCUAAGCAAUCAUUUUGGGGGGUUCAGCCAGGUAAAACCAGUGUGUUGACAGCGUGAAAAGUUGCAAGCUCACGUCUAAAUACGUACUGUAACUCCAACCACAAAACGUCUUAGGCCUUGAUUUAAAGAACCAAAAUAAUCAACAGCUUGCCUAGCUAACAGCUAAAUGUUGCUUUUUGAUUUGGUCAUAUAAUUAUAAUUACAUUUGAGGCUCUACAUGUCGACAUGGGGAAAAUAUGAAUGUUAUUUUCAAACAACCAAUGAGCAACUCUGCCGUAAACCAGCUGCGUACUGAACGUUGAGAUCGCCAGAGACCCCCGUCUCUAUGGCAAUGACAAGGAGUGGCAUGUUAACUCAGGUAGUGUGUCCAGGUGUAGCAGGGAGGGGAGAGAUGGACAGAGAGAGACAGGUAGUGUGUCCAGGUGUAGCAGGGAGGGGAGAGAUGGACAGAGAGAGACAGGUAGUGUGUCCAGGUAUAGCAGGGAGGGGAGAGAUGGACACAGAGAGAGACAGACAGGUAGUGUGUCCAGGUGUAGCAGGGAGGGGAGAGAUGGACACAGAGACAGACAGACAGACAGGUAGUGUACUUGUUAAACUCAGGUAGUUUGUUCAGGUCUAGCAGGGAGGGGAGAGAUGGACACAGAGACAGACAGACAGGUAGUGUACUUGUUAAACUCAGGUAGUUUGUCCAGGUCUAGCAGGGAGGGGAGAGAUGGACACAGAGACAGACAGACAGACAGGUAGUGUACUUGUUAAACUCAGGUAGUUUGUCCAGGUCUAGCAGGGCAGAGACAGACAGAGACAGGUAGUGUACUUGUUAAACUCAGGUAGUUUGUCCAGGUCUA